This 517-nucleotide ribosomal RNA is filed under the name uncultured bacterium. RNAcentral's name for it is "bacterial SSU rRNA". It matches the Rfam family "Bacterial small subunit ribosomal RNA", at positions 29 to 453 of the family's 1533-position model. The record is from RNAcentral.
AGUGAACGCUGGCGGCGUGCCUAACACAUGCAAGUCGAACGGGCUAGUGCUUCGCACUAGUCUCUUUCUGGGGUUGCUACUCUAAGGCUACCUGCUAAAGUUAUUGCUUUAAAGCAGGGGUUUUAGGGGACCUUCCCCAAAAGGGGCCAGUGCGGAGCACUGGCCAGUGGCGAACGGGUGAGUAACACGUGGGUAAUCUGCCCUCGAGUGGGGAAUAAGCUCCCGAAAGGGGGUCUAAUACCGCAUGACGUUUCAUAACGAUGGUUAUGAAACCAAAGCCCAAAAGGCGCUUGAGGAGGAGCCUGCGUCCUAUCAGCUUGUUGGCAGGGUAAUGGCCUACCAAGGCUAUGACGGGUAGCCGGCCUGAGAGGGUGUCCGGCCACACUGGAACUGAGACACGGUCCAGACUCCUACGGGAGGCAGCAGUGGGAAUUUGCGCAAUGGGGAACCCUGACGCAGCGACGCCGCGUGGAGGAUGACGGCCUCGGUGUAACGUCUGUCGAGGACGAAGUACCCG